AACGAACGCUGGCGGCAGGCUUAACACAUGCAAGUCGAGCGCCCCGCAAGGGGAGCGGCAGACGGGUGAGUAACGCGUGGGAAUCUACCCUGAUCUGCGGAAUAGCUCCGGGAAACUGGAAUUAAUACCGCAUGUGCCCUGAGGGGCAAAGAUUUAUCGGUUCAGGAUGAGCCCGCGUCCGAUUAGCUAGUUGGUGGGGUAAUGGCCUACCAAGGCGACGAUCGGUAGCUGGUCUAAGAGGAUGAUCAGCCACAUUGGGACUGAGACACGGCCCAAACUCCUACGGGAGGCAGCAGUGGGGAAUAUUGGACAAUGGGCGCAAGCCUGAUCCAGCCAUGCCGCGUGAGUGAUGAAGGCCCUAGGGUUGUAAAGCUCUUUCAGUGGGGACGAUAAUGACGGUACCCACAGAAGAAGCCCCGGCUAACUUCGUGCCAGCCGCCGCCGUAA
RNAcentral lists this ribosomal RNA (447 nucleotides) under uncultured bacterium. Its description in RNAcentral is "partial 16S ribosomal RNA". It matches the Rfam family "Bacterial small subunit ribosomal RNA", at positions 29 to 523 of the family's 1533-position model. The record is from RNAcentral.